AUAACGAUCCGGAAACGGGUGCUAAUACCGCAUAGUUUUCUUGAUCGCAUGAUUGAGAAGGAAAGACGGCCUUUGUGCUGUCGCUUAUGGAUGGACCCGCGGCGUAUUAGUUAGUUGGUGAGGUAAUGGCUCACCAAGACGAUGAUACGUAGCCGACCUGAGAGGGUGAUCGGCCACAUUGGGACUGAGACACGGCCCAAACUCCUACGGGAGGCAGCAGUAGGGAAUCUUCCGCAAUGGACGAAAGUCUGACGGAGCAACGCCGCGUGAGUGAAGAAGGUUUUUUCCGGAUCGUAAAACUCUGUUGUCAGAGAAGAACAAGUUGGAGAGUAACUGCUCCAGCCUUGACGGUAUCUGACCAGAAAGCCACGGCUAACUACGUGCCAGCCGCAGC
RNAcentral lists this ribosomal RNA (394 nucleotides) under uncultured bacterium. RNAcentral describes it as "bacterial SSU rRNA". It matches the Rfam family "Bacterial small subunit ribosomal RNA", at positions 143 to 518 of the family's 1533-position model. The record is from RNAcentral.